This 495-nucleotide ribosomal RNA is filed under the name uncultured bacterium. RNAcentral's name for it is "bacterial SSU rRNA". It matches the Rfam family "Bacterial small subunit ribosomal RNA", at positions 29 to 496 of the family's 1533-position model. The record is from RNAcentral.
AAUGAACGCUGGCGGCGUGCUUAACACAUGCAAGUCGAACGAGAAAGGGAUUGCUUGCAGUCCUGAGUAGAGUGGCGCACGGGUGAGUAACACGUAGAUAAUCUGUCUCCAAGCCUGGGAUAACUAUUCGAAAGGGUAGCUAAUACCGGAUAAAGUUGAUUCACAUAAGUGGAUUAAUGAAAGAUUGCCUCUUCUUGAAAGCAAUUGUUUGGGGGGUGAGUUUGCGUACCAUUAGCUUGUUGGUGGGGUAAAGGCCUACCAAGGCAACGAUGGUUAGCUGGUCUGAGAGGAUGAUCAGUCACACUGGAACUGAAACACGGUCCAGACUCCUACGGGAGGCAGCAGUGAGGAAUUUUGCGCAAUGGGGGCAACCCUGACGCAGCAACGCCGCGUGAGUGAAGAAGGCCUUUGGGUCGUAAAGCUCUGUCAACAGGGAAGAAGUUAUUAUCUAUUAAUAGUGGAUAGUAUUGACGGUACCUGUGGAGGAAGCGCCGG